This 89-nucleotide transfer RNA is filed under the name Planctomycetota bacterium. RNAcentral describes it as "Planctomycetes bacterium tRNA-Ser". It matches the Rfam family "tRNA". From Rfam's summary of the family: Transfer RNA (tRNA) molecules are approximately 80 nucleotides in length. Their secondary structure includes four short double-helical elements and three loops (D, anti-codon, and T loops). Lineage: Bacteria; Pseudomonadati; Planctomycetota. The record is from RNAcentral.
GGAGAGGUGGCAGAGUGGUCGAAUGCGCUGGAUUGCUAAUCCAGUGAACCUGCUUUCGGGUUCCGAGGGUUCAAAUCCCUCCCUCUCCG